Molecule: long non-coding RNA, 710 nt
Organism: Sinocyclocheilus anshuiensis
Lineage: Eukaryota; Metazoa; Chordata; Actinopteri; Cypriniformes; Cyprinidae
Source: Ensembl
ACCGACACCGAAACUACAAUGUCAAGCAUUUACGGGACACCGAGCUCCUCCGCGUUCAAGGACCCGUCCUGAUUUCUUAAUAUACGCGCAAAAUCUACGAACAAUCCGAUGAUAUUCCUGGAAGCAAAAGAUUGAGAUGAUGCAUCAUCUUUCAGACAAGGUGGAAGUGUGAGUGAGUCAGGGAGAGAUGGAGGUGAUUAGAAGAAAAGACUCCGACUCAAACGGCCUCUUCUCAGACAACUCGGACAAUGACUGUGAGGUAUGAACGCCAUUAUUGGAAAGGUAGGAGUGCCAUUAUUGGAGCUGCACAUGUUCGCUUUCUCUUUCUGUAGGACAUGGGGGCUUGUGGACAGACGACUGGAGUGUGUUUGUGUGAAAAUACCCCCUUUACCAGCUUCUGUGAUCAGCACCCUAAGGAGGACUCCAGUGUGAAGUGUGUCCAGUGCGGUAAGAACAGACCCAUGAUCACCAGAUACUCAGAGGGUUACGGCACAGAGGAGGAGUGUGUCCAGCCUCAUCUUCAGGGAGACAGCGACGCAGACGCAGACAUCGAGGACACAGACAGCAGGUGUGUGAUUGACAAACCCACGCAUGUGCUACACCGCGUCCACUUCUUCAGCUCGCUUGCUGCUUUGUGAUUCGUUCAGGCUCCAGAUUGUGGGUUCCCUCCAGCGAAUCAGCUCCCGGAAGAGAAAGCGUCAGCGAAUCAC